Cinara cedri is the source of this 257-nucleotide non-coding RNA. Lineage: Eukaryota; Metazoa; Arthropoda; Insecta; Hemiptera; Aphididae. The record is from the annotation of a GenBank genome assembly.
AAAUAUCAAAAACUAUCGUGAAAAAACAUAGCACAUGCACUUACAUUCACAACACCCUAACUGCUCAUCUGUCCAAUAAGUCCUCCGCGUCCAAUCUCUACCCUCUCGAUGCCUCGAACUUCGAAGCCAAUCAACGUUUCGUUAAUUUCUUCUUAUACGGGUCUAUAAAUUCUCUACAGACGCUCCCGAUCUUCUUAGAAAAAUAUCCGUUACAAUUUCUUCGUAUCCUGCCCGUAAGAUACGUACUUAACCUGAUU